Molecule: ribosomal RNA, 721 nt
Filed under: uncultured Staphylococcus sp.
Lineage: Bacteria; Bacillati; Bacillota; Bacilli; Caryophanales; Staphylococcaceae
Description: bacterial SSU rRNA
Rfam family: Bacterial small subunit ribosomal RNA
Source: RNAcentral
ACGGACGAGAAGCUUGCUUCUCUGAUGUUAGCGGCGGACGGGUGAGUAACACGUGGAUAACCUACCUAUAAGACUGGGAUAACUUCGGGAAACCGGAGCUAAUACCGGAUAAUAUUUUGAACCGCAUGGUUCAAAAGUGAAAGACGGUCUUGCUGUCACUUAUAGAUGGAUCCGCGCUGCAUUAGCUAGUUGGUAAGGUAACGGCUUACCAAGGCAACGAUGCAUAGCCGACCUGAGAGGGUGAUCGGCCACACUGGAACUGAGACACGGUCCAGACUCCUACGGGAGGCAGCAGUAGGGAAUCUUCCGCAAUGGGCGAAAGCCUGACGGAGCAACGCCGCGUGAGUGAUGAAGGUCUUCGGAUCGUAAAACUCUGUUAUUAGGGAAGAACAUAUGUGUAAGUAACUGUGCACAUCUUAACGGUACCUAAUCAGAAAGCCACGGCUAACUACGUGCCAGCAGCCGCGGUAAUACGUAGGUGGCAAGCGUUAUCCGGAAUUAUUGGGCGUAAAGCGCGCGUAGGCGGUUUUUUAAGUCUGAUGUGAAAGCCCACGGCUCAACCGUGGAGGGUCAUUGGAAACUGGAAAACUUGAGUGCAGAAGAGGAAAGUGGAAUUCCAUGUGUAGCGGUGAAAUGCGCAGAGAUAUGGAGGAACACCAGUGGCGAAGGCGACUUUCUGGUCUGUAACUGACGCUGAUGUGCGAAAGCGUGGGGAUCAAAC